This 1176-nucleotide long non-coding RNA is filed under the name Equus caballus (horse). Its description in RNAcentral is "lncRNA (ENSECAG00000059606.1)". The record is from RNAcentral. Lineage: Eukaryota; Metazoa; Chordata; Mammalia; Perissodactyla; Equidae.
CAGGCAUUGACUGAGCUGUGGCAAAUCUUUUCUAUCCAAACGAGAUCACGUAAAUGCAACACAGCAGGUCAAACUUGCUCACUGUUCGAAGACUGAGUUUUGCGCUGAACCAGAAGGCUAAGAUAAAGCAAGGCUUUGCAGAGAGAUGAGAAACAAAUAGUCAUUCAAUUUCCACUGUUGUAAAGAAAACCAGAAGAUGCCACUUAAAGAUGAUUUGCAGCUUGGAAGAAGGAAGGUCUCACAGCCAGAAGUUGAAGCCAGAAGCUUCUGGACCUCCAAUAAAUUUGCUCUAAAUAUUUGGGAACAGAAGCUGUUCAUUUGAAUGAAGGAUGGAGAUGUUUCUGGAAAUAGACACCUGUUAUUGGUCUCCUGACCAGAAUCAAACCAAGAGGACUGAAAUAAUUGCGUCCAUAAAAAGCCUUGUAAAGGGGCCAGUGUGAAUAUGAUAGGAAAUUUUCACUAUCUAUGUAACCAGUGGAAAACUCUAUAAUUAGAUUGUUUUCAUGUUAAUGGAUCUGGUGUAAUGGAUUGUUUUUUAACUCGGUAUGUGCCUCUAAUGACCAUGCUGUUGAAACUUUAGACCUGGGGUUAACGGUGGCCUCUGCAAUAAUGUUUUAUUCCCCCCUACACACGAGACCUCUGCCUCUUUUGCUAUAGGAAUUCUUCUAGCUCAUGUGUAUUAAUUAGCUUUUGUAAUAUUUUAUUGUUUCCUGCCCAGAGCUUUUAUUCAGGAAAAUGUAAUAAAAUAAGCUCAAGAUGUUCAUGUGUUGGAUGAUUUAGUUGAGGACAAUUUACAGUUAUAGCAUUUAAAAUAGAAAGUGAUUCCCAGACUACUUGCUCACUUCAUUAGACUGGAGAGAAAGAGAGAACUAACUAUAAGUUAUACAGAUUUCCCAGACACAUUUAAAAAAAUUUCAUACUACAGAUUCUUUAUAAUAUUAGAAAUCAUGUUCCAAGAAAGGGCUGUUGGAGUGGCUGUUUGAAUGUCUUAAGGCCUACAACACACACCUAAUACUGUUAAAUUCAUAGUGGAGCGAGCUGAUGAAUGCUUUGGGGGUCGGGAGUGUACAGACAUUUAGCAAUUGUAGCCCCUCCCCAAUUUAUGGUAUAAGGUAAAAGGGCCUGCUUUAGGGUUAACUCUGAAUAGAUGACUAAGUCUGAACCAUUGUAACUUUU